This 253-nucleotide ribosomal RNA is filed under the name uncultured bacterium. RNAcentral describes it as "partial 16S ribosomal RNA". It matches the Rfam family "Bacterial small subunit ribosomal RNA", at positions 524 to 776 of the family's 1533-position model. The record is from RNAcentral.
UACAGAGGUCCCAAGCGUUGUUCGGAUUUACUGGGCGUAAAGGGUGCGUAGGUGGCUUGGCAAGUGGAAGGUGAAAUCCCUCGGCUCAACCGAGGAACUGCCUUCCAGACUGCUUUGCUUGAGGCCGGGAGAGGCGAGUGGAAUUCCCAGUGUAGCGGUGAAAUGCGCAGAUAUCAGGAGGAACACCGGUGGCGAAGGCGGUUCUCUGGGCAUGACCUGACGCUGAGGAGCGAAAGUGUGGGGAGCGAACAGG